This 210-nucleotide long non-coding RNA is filed under the name Carica papaya (papaya). RNAcentral describes it as "long non-coding RNA (CPAP_LNC008969)". Lineage: Eukaryota; Viridiplantae; Streptophyta; Magnoliopsida; Brassicales; Caricaceae. The record is from RNAcentral.
UAAAAGGUUACCAUUUUUCACAUGAAAUUUUAUCUAAAAGGUCUUUUCACAUGCUACUUCAUCUAAAAGGUCACCACUUUUCACAUGCCACUUCAUCUAAAAGUUAUCACUUUCUCUAAUAUCACUUCAUCUAAAUGUUGCCACUUUUCAUGAUAUCAUUUUAUUUAAUAGUUACCACUUUUCAUUAUACCACUUCAUUUAAAAGGUUCC